ACUUAUCCUUAGGUAUUUCAUAUUUUUUGAUAUUUUUGUGAAUGCUUGCUUUUUAAAAUUUCGUUUUUGACUGAUCAUUGCUAGUAUAUAGAAAUAAAAUUGAUAUUUGUGUAUUGAUCUUGUAACCUGCAACCUUUCUAAAUUCACUUAGUUCUAGCAGUGUUUUUUUUUUCCUUUUGUAGAUCUCAUCAGAUUUUCUUCAUAGACAAUCAUAUUGUCUGAGAAUAUAAGAUUUUAACUUCUUUUUUCCUCCAAUCUGGAGACUUUUUAUUUGUUUAUCUUUCCUGAUUGCACUGACUGGAACCGCCGAUACAACGUUGAAUGGAAGUGGUCAGAGCAGACAUUUUUGUAUUGUUCCUGAUCUUAUGGAGGAGCACUUUCUGUCUUUCACCUUUAAGUAUGAUGUUAGCUGUAAAUGUUCCGCAGAAGCCCUUUAUCAGGAGCCCAUGCCUGAAAGCUCUGGGGUGAUUAGAUGCCAAUAGCACCAACAGUUUUUCUUCUGUGGCACUAAGGACAAGAUAGAACAGUUGGCGUUCAUAACAGAUCUUCAAGAAGGAAUGGAAGAACACUUGAAAUGGAAGACAAAUUUACAAUUCAAGAAGCCCAGUGAAGGACCAUCCCCAAUGGCUUAGUGGCAUGCUCCACUUUGGUGGCCUGAGUUCGGUUCCUGGGCAUGGAACCACACCACUCAUCUGCCAGUGUCCAUGCUGUGGCGGUGGCUCACAUAAAAAAAAAGGAGGAGAGGGGAGUGAUGUCAGCAACAUGGCAGAGUGAGUGGUUCCCUUUCUCUCCCCCUUUGAACUAUAACUAAUUGGACAUUCAUUGAUCAAUGGAGGAUACUCACACAGUACCUCAGGAUGCCUGAAAGACCCACACAGCUAUCCAUCGGAAGGUGGAUAGACUACCCACUGGGGAGGAG
This 919-nucleotide long non-coding RNA is filed under the name Equus caballus (horse). RNAcentral describes it as "lncRNA (ENSECAG00000043950.1)". The record is from RNAcentral. Lineage: Eukaryota; Metazoa; Chordata; Mammalia; Perissodactyla; Equidae.